This 497-nucleotide ribosomal RNA is filed under the name uncultured bacterium. RNAcentral describes it as "partial 16S ribosomal RNA". It matches the Rfam family "Bacterial small subunit ribosomal RNA", at positions 28 to 507 of the family's 1533-position model. The record is from RNAcentral.
GACGAACGCUGGCGGCGUGCCUAAUACAUGCAAGUUGAGCGCUGAAGGUUGGUACUUGUACCAACUGGAUGAGCAGCGAACGGGUGAGUAACGCGUGGGGAAUCUGCCUUUGAGCGGGGGACAACAUUUGGAAACGAAUGCUAAUACCGCAUAAAAACUUUAAACACAAGUUUUAAGUUUGAAAGAUGCAAUUGCAUCACUCAAAGAUGAUCCCGCGCUGUAUUAGCUAGUUGGUGAGGUAAAGGCUCACCAAGGCGAUGAUACAUAGCCGACCUGAGAGGGGGAUCGGCCACAUUGGGAAUGAGACACGGCCCAAACUCCUACGGGAGGCAGCAGGAGGGAAUCUUCGGCAAUGGACGAAAGUCUGACCGAGCAACGCCGCGUGAGUGAAGAAGGUUUUCGGAUCGUAAAACUCUGUUGGUAGAGAAGAACGUUGGUGAGAGUGGAAAGCUCAUCAAGUGACGGUAACUACCCAGAAAGGGACGGCUAACUACGUG